AUUGCAACAAGUUCAAAAUCCUCGCCAAGUGAAUGCCAUGUGGGGUGUCAAGAAAAGAUGACAAAGAGGUCAACAGAAUCAAGGGAAUUCGGAGCAAUUUGACAAUGAAUGUGGUGGAUUUCAAGAUGAUAGUUGUUAUCGGCAAAAUGAAGACGUGCAAUACGUGAAUAAUUAUUUAGGCCAAAGGGGCAAUUCUUCCAACCAACAACAAUUGAGACCCCAAGGCAAUUGGGGUAAUCAACAACAAUAAGGAAAUGGUAAUUAGGAAAGAAAAAAUCAAAACAACAACUGGGGUAAUCAGAACAACAAUAAAAAAAUAUCAAGGAAAUUGGAAUGGUAAUAACAAUAAUAGGGUAGUAACAACAAUCAAGGUGGAUGGAACAAUGAAAAUCAAGGAAACCGGGGGCAAGGCUUUCAAAGGCCCACAAUGUACCAACAACCAAACAAUCCACCAACAACUUAGCUUAAGAGAUUGUGGAUCUGUGUAUUCAUGUUACCUCUUCAAGUGGUUUGAGAAAAUGAAAAAUAAAGUUAUGUGAGCAUGAGUUGUGGUUACUUUUCAUGGUAGCCUGGUUGUCGUUAGUAGUAUAACGGAUGCAGUGGCGUAUGGCAUUUUCAGAAAAUUGUCUUCCCCUAUAUCACUCUUCAGAACAUCCUCGUCAAUGUCUAUCUCUGUCCGUCUAAAUGUGCAAAAAAUCUGGCGUCGCUAAUGGAAAGCAAAGCUCAAAAGGUCGACGAAGCAGGCAAGUCCGUCCAGAUCUGGUGCGUGUCCGGUUGUUUCUGGACAGUAAAGAGUGGUGGGACAAGGAGCAGCUGCUCAAGGUCGUUUAUGGCAGUUUGAGUUGUCUGGUUCGUUGCUUGAGAGAGAGAAAGAGGCGGGUUGUUAGUGGGGUGGAACAGAGGUGGCGGCGUAGGUCGAUUCAGGGGGUACCGUUUGGGCAGCGGAUGUGUCGUUAUGGCUGCUCAAGAGUGAAGGAGUAGAGUGGUCUAUGGCCGGGCUGGAGUUGCUAAAGGUGACGGCUGAAAUGGAUGUCGUUUCCAACAACACUGGUGGCCGGCGGCGUGAGAGGUUAAGCCUCCUUAGGGUGCUUUUGUCGCUAGGGUUUUUUUUGCAGUGUUAGAUGAAGAAGAAAAUGAAGUCUAGGGUUAGGUUUUUUAUGUCUUGUAUGAAGAAGAAGAAGAGUGGUCUUGAUGGGCUUAAAAUUUGGCCUAAAUAAAGAAAUUGAACUUUAA
Molecule: long non-coding RNA, 1233 nt
Filed under: Nicotiana benthamiana
Lineage: Eukaryota; Viridiplantae; Streptophyta; Magnoliopsida; Solanales; Solanaceae
Description: long non-coding RNA (NBEN_LNC037200)
Source: RNAcentral